CCUACGGGAGGCAGCAGUGGGGAAUAUUGCGCAAUGGGCGAAAGCCUGACGCAGCGACGCCGCGUGAGGGAUGAAGGUCUUCGGAUCGUAAACCUCUGUCAGCAGGGAAGAACGGUCACUGUGCUAAUCAGCAGUGAAUUGACGGUACCUGCAAAGGAAGCACCGGCUAACUCCGUGCCAGCAGCCGCGGUAAUACGUAGGGUGCGAGCGUUAAUCGGAAUUACUGGGCGUAAAGCGCUCGUAGGCGGUAUGUCAAGUCAAGGGUGAAAUCCCCGCGCUCAACGUGGGAACUGCCUUUGAAACUGGCAAACUGGAGUGUGUGAGAGGAUAGUGGAAGUCCAGGUGUAGGAGUGAAAUGCGUAGAUAUCUGGAGGAACAUCAGUGGCGAAGGCGACUAUCUGGCACAUAACUGACGCUGAGGAGCGAAAGCGUGGGUAGCAAACAGGAUUAGAUACCCCAGUAGUC
This 465-nucleotide ribosomal RNA is filed under the name uncultured bacterium. Its description in RNAcentral is "partial 16S ribosomal RNA". It matches the Rfam family "Bacterial small subunit ribosomal RNA", at positions 338 to 795 of the family's 1533-position model. The record is from RNAcentral.